RNAcentral lists this long non-coding RNA (740 nucleotides) under Homo sapiens (human). RNAcentral describes it as "HSALNT0314258". Lineage: Eukaryota; Metazoa; Chordata; Mammalia; Primates; Hominidae. The record is from RNAcentral.
GACAUCUUAAAAAAAUGGGGGGAAGGGACAAAAUGGAUUAAAAAAUGGAAUGUUCCAAUGGAGAAUCAUAAUCUAUAAAAAGAAUUGUAUGAACAUUCUAGAAUUGCAGAGUAUAAUACUGAACUUAAGAAUUCACUGGAUGAGUGUAAUGGCAGAAUAGAUGCAGCAGCAAGCAGGAUGAAUGAACUUGAAAACAAAUCAAUAGAAAACAGCACACUGGGCAGGGUGCAGUGGUUCAUGCCUGUAAUCCCAGCACUUUGGGAGACCAAGGCAGACAGAUCACAAGGUCAGGAGUUUCAGACCAGCCUGGCCAACACAGCAAAACCCUGUCUCUACUAAAAAGACAAAAAUAUAGCCAGGCGUGGUGGCAGGCGCCUGUAAUUCCAGCUACUAGCUACUCGGGAGGCUGAGGAUUGGGCAAGUCUUAAUGAGUAUGAACCAACGAAAUUGAGGAGAGAUUUGCUUAGAGCUUCUGGGAAACAGAAGUCAAUGUCUGUGUUUCUCCCUCCUUCUCCUGCUACCCCUAUCACUUGGGGAAGAGUGAAGCAUGUUGCUCUGUUACAACUGGCAGCUGUCUUAGAACCAUGAAGGGAAACAGCCUUGCAAGGAAGUUCUCGGCCAAACAGUGAGAUCUCAGCAGAGGAGUGAGAUAGAAAGAAUCCUGAGUGCCUGAAGAUGGGCUCGCACUGAUUCAUCAAUCUUGAAGCUCACAUCAUUGUCUCUGAAUGACUACUUAAAAU